AGCAGCCGCGGUAAUUCCAGCUCCAAUAGCGUAUAUUAAAGUUGUUGCAGUUAAAAAGCUCGUAGUUGAAUUUCGGGGUUCAUCCGUUGGUCGGGCUUUUUUGGUCUGUACUGGCGUGAUGGAUUCCUACCUUCUGAAUAACCAGCAUGUCAUUAAUUUGGUGCGCUGGGGAAGCAGGACUGUUACCUUGAAAAAAUUAGAGUGCUUAAAGCAGGCUAUCGCCUGAAUACAUUAGCAUGGAAUAAUGAAAUAGGACGGCAUGGUUCUAUUUUGUUGGUUUCUAGGAUCACCGUAAUGAUUAAUAGGGAUAGUUGGGGGCAUUAGUAUUCAAUUGUCAGAGGUGAAAUUCUUGGAUUUAUUGAAGACUAACUUCUGCGAAAGCAUUUGCCAAGGAUGUUUUCAUUAAUCAAGAACGAAAGUUAGGGGAUCGAAGACGAUCAGAUACCGUCGUAGUCUUAACCAUAAACUAUGCCGACUAGGGAUCGGACGAUGUUAAUUUUUUAAUGACUCGUUCGGCGCCUUACG
This 525-nucleotide ribosomal RNA is filed under the name uncultured Acaulospora. RNAcentral describes it as "SSU rRNA". It matches the Rfam family "Eukaryotic small subunit ribosomal RNA", at positions 569 to 1092 of the family's 1831-position model. The record is from RNAcentral. Lineage: Eukaryota; Fungi; Glomeromycota; Glomeromycetes; Diversisporales; Acaulosporaceae.